Molecule: RNase P RNA, 340 nt
Filed under: Candidatus Acetothermia bacterium
Lineage: Bacteria; Candidatus Bipolaricaulota
Description: RNase P RNA component class A
Rfam family: Bacterial RNase P class A
About the family: Ribonuclease P (RNase P) is a ubiquitous endoribonuclease, found in archaea, bacteria and eukarya as well as chloroplasts and mitochondria. Its best characterised activity is the generation of mature 5'-ends of tRNAs by cleaving the 5'-leader elements of precursor-tRNAs. Cellular RNase Ps are ribonucleoproteins.
Source: RNAcentral
GAAGAGAGGUAGAGAGCCGCAGGGCUUUACGCCUUGAGGAAAGUCCGGGCUCCGCAGGGCAAGCCGCUCGGCGCAAGCCGAGAGAGAGCGAUCUCUGAGACAGGCCACAGAGACAAGACCGCCGAUGGCCCUUCGGGGAUCAGGCAAGGGUGAAAGGGCGAGGUAAGAGCUCACCGCCAAUCCGGGUGACUGGGUUGUGGCUGGUAAUCCUCCGGCUGGAGCAAGGCCAAGUAAGCAGGUGCUUGAGGGCUGCCCGCCCGAUGCCUGCGGGUAGGCCGCGUAGAAGGAUGGCUCUCGUCCCCUUGUGGGAACAGAACCCGGCUUAUUCCUCUCUUCCUGC